AACGAACGCUGGCGGCAUGCCUAACACAUGCAAGUCGAACGGUGCCGCCCCUUCUAUUUUCGCGGGUGUGGGUGAGUGGUGGACGGGUGACUAAACCGUGAGUAUCAUGCCCCGUUAUUCUGGCUAAUCCCAUGAAAGUUUUGCUAAUCCGGGAUUUUUUGGCUUUGUCGCAUGCUGGGUCUGGGUAAGUAGUUGUUUCGGUGGGGGCCGGACUAGCGGCCGAUCAGGUUGUUGGUGGGGUGAGGGCCGACACAGGCGGGGACUGGUAGCCGGCCAGAGAGGGUGGAAGAGCUCACAGGAGAGGAGACACGGCCCAGACUCCACAGGGAGGCAGCAGAGGGGAAUAGUGCACAAUGGGCGGAAGACUGAUGCAGCGACGCCGCGUGAGGGAUGGAGGCCUUCGGGUUGUGAACCUCUUUCGCCAGUGAAGCAGGCCUGCCUUGUUUGUGGGUGGGUUGACGGUAGCUGGAGAAGAAGCGCCGGCUAACUACGUG
This 494-nucleotide ribosomal RNA is filed under the name uncultured bacterium. Its description in RNAcentral is "partial 16S ribosomal RNA". It matches the Rfam family "Bacterial small subunit ribosomal RNA", at positions 28 to 507 of the family's 1533-position model. The record is from RNAcentral.